UACGUAGGGAGCAAGCGUUGUCCGGAAUCAUUGGGCGUAAAGCGCGCGUAGGUGGCUUCGUAAGUCCGUUGUGAAAGUCAAAGGCUCAACCUUUGAAUGCCGAUGGAUACUGCGGAGCUAGAGUACGGAAGAGGCGAGUGGAAUUCCUGGUGUAGCGGUGGAAUGCGCAGAUAUCAGGAGGAACACCAAUAGCGAAGGCAGCUCGCUGGGACGUUACUGACACUAAGGCGCGAAAGCGUGGGG
This 243-nucleotide ribosomal RNA is filed under the name uncultured bacterium. Its description in RNAcentral is "partial 16S ribosomal RNA". It matches the Rfam family "Bacterial small subunit ribosomal RNA", at positions 524 to 766 of the family's 1533-position model. The record is from RNAcentral.